AUUGAACGCUGGCGGCAUGCUUUACGCAUGCAAGUCGAACGGUAACAGGCCGCAAGGUGCUGACGAGUGGCGAACGGGUGAGUAAUGCAUCGGAACGUGCCCAGUCGUGGGGGAUAACUACUCGAAAGAGUAGCUAAUACCGCAUACGAUCUAUGGAUGAAAGCGGGGGACCGUAAGGCCUCGCGCGAUUGGAGCGGCCGAUGUCAGAUUAGGUAGUUGGUGGGGUAAAGGCUCACCAAGCCAACGAUCUGUAGCUGGUCUGAGAGGACGACCAGCCACACUGGGACUGAGACACGGCCCAGACUCCUACGGGAGGCAGCAGUGGGGAAUUUUGGACAAUGGGCGCAAGCCUGAUCCAGCAAUGCCGCGUGCAGGAAGAGGGCCUUCGGGUUGUAAACUGCUUUUGUACGGAACGAAACGGCUCUGGUUAAUACCCGGGGCUAAUGACGGUACCGUAAGAAUAAGCACCGGCUAACUACGUG
This 482-nucleotide ribosomal RNA is filed under the name uncultured bacterium. RNAcentral describes it as "partial 16S ribosomal RNA". It matches the Rfam family "Bacterial small subunit ribosomal RNA", at positions 30 to 507 of the family's 1533-position model. The record is from RNAcentral.